GACGAACGCUGGCGGCGUGCUUAACACAUGCAAGUCGAACGGAAAGGCCCUGCUUUUGUGGGGUGCUCGAGUGGCGAACGGGUGAGUAACACGUGAGUAACCUGCCCUUGACUUUGGGAUAACUUCAGGAAACUGGGGCUAAUACCGGAUAGGAGCUCCUGCUGCAUGGUGGGGGUUGGAAAGUUUCGGCGGUUGGGGAUGGACUCGCGGCUUAUCAGCUCGUUGGUGGGGUAGUGGCUUACCAAGGCUUUGACGGGUAGCCGGCCUGAGAGGGUGACCGGCCACAUUGGGACUGAGAUACGGCCCAGACGCCUACGGGAGGCAGCAGUGGGGAAUAUUGCACAAUGGGCGGAAGCCUGAUGCAGCAACGCCGCGUGCGGGAUGACGGCCGUCGGGUUGUAAACCGCUUUCGCCUGUGACGAAGAGUGAGUGACGGUAAUGGGUAAAGAAGCACCGGCUAACUACGU
This 467-nucleotide ribosomal RNA is filed under the name uncultured bacterium. Its description in RNAcentral is "partial 16S ribosomal RNA". It matches the Rfam family "Bacterial small subunit ribosomal RNA", at positions 28 to 506 of the family's 1533-position model. The record is from RNAcentral.